Molecule: ribosomal RNA, 721 nt
Filed under: uncultured bacterium
Lineage: Bacteria
Description: bacterial SSU rRNA
Rfam family: Bacterial small subunit ribosomal RNA
Source: RNAcentral
AGUCGAGGGGCAGCAUCAUCAAAGCUUGCUUUGAUGGAUGGCGACCGGCGCACGGGUGAGUAACACGUAUCCAACCUGCCGACAACACUGGGAUAGCCUUUCGAAAGAAAGAUUAAUACCGGAUGGCAUAAUUAUUCCGCAUGGGAUAAUUAUUAAAGAAUUUCGGUUGUCGAUGGGGAUGCGUUCCAUUAGGCAGUUGGCGGGGUAACGGCCCACCAAACCUACGAUGGAUAGGGGUUCUGAGAGGAAGGUCCCCCACAUUGGAACUGAGACACGGUCCAAACUCCUACGGGAGGCAGCAGUGAGGAAUAUUGGUCAAUGGACGAGAGUCUGAACCAGCCAAGUAGCGUGAAGGAUGACUGCCCUAUGGGUUGUAAACUUCUUUUAUACGGGAAUAAAGUGAGCCACGUGUGGCUUUUUGUAUGUACCGUAUGAAUAAGGAUCGGCUAACUCCGUGCCGGCAGCCGCGGUAAUACGGAGGAUUCGAGCGUUAUCCGGAUUUAUUGGGUUUAAAGGGAGCGUAGGCGGGUUGUUAAGUCAGUUGUGAAAGUUUGCGGCUCAACCGUAAAAUUGCAGUUGAUACUGGCGACCUUGAGUGCAACAGAGGUAGGCGGAAUUCGUGGUGUAGCGGUGAAAUGCUUAGAUAUCACGAAGAACUCCGAUUGCGAAGGCAGCUUACUGGAUUGUAACUGACGCUGAUGCUCGAAAGUGUGGGUAUCAA